This 464-nucleotide ribosomal RNA is filed under the name uncultured bacterium. RNAcentral describes it as "partial 16S ribosomal RNA". It matches the Rfam family "Bacterial small subunit ribosomal RNA", at positions 28 to 507 of the family's 1533-position model. The record is from RNAcentral.
GACGAACGCUGGCGGCGUGCUUAACACAUGCAAGUCGAACGGAAAGGCCCAGCUUGCUGGGUGCUCGAGUGGCGAACGGGUGAGUAACACGUGGGUGAUCUGCCCCUAACUUCGGGAUAAGCUUGGGAAACUGGGUCUAAUACCGGAUAGGACAAUCGUUUAGUGUCGGUUGUGGAAAGUUUUUUCGGUUAGGGAUGAGCCCGCGGCCUAUCAGCUUGUUGGUGGGGUAAUGGCCUACCAAGGCGUCGACGGGUAGCCGGCCUGAGAGGGUGGACGGCCACAUUGGGACUGAGAUACGGCCCAGACUCCUACGGGAGGCAGCAGUGGGGAAUAUUGCACAAUGGGCGCAAGCCUGAUGCAGCGACGCCGCGUGGGGGAUGACGGCCUUCGGGUUGUAAACCUCUUUCAACAGGGACGAAGCUUUGGUGACGGUACCUGUAUAAGAAGCACCGGCUAACUACGUG